This 506-nucleotide ribosomal RNA is filed under the name uncultured bacterium. Its description in RNAcentral is "partial 16S ribosomal RNA". It matches the Rfam family "Bacterial small subunit ribosomal RNA", at positions 29 to 523 of the family's 1533-position model. The record is from RNAcentral.
AGUGAACGCUGGCGGUAGGCCUAACACAUGCAAGUCGAACGGCAGCACAGGAGAGCUUGCUCUCUGGGUGGCGAGUGGCGGACGGGUGAGGAAUACAUCGGAAUCUACUUUUUCGUGGGGGAUAACGUAGGGAAACUUACGCUAAUACCGCAUACGACCUACGGGUGAAAGCAGGGGACCUUCGGGCCUUGCGCGAUUGAAUGAGCCGAUGUCGGAUUAGAUAGUUGGCGGGGUAAAGGCCCACCAAGGCGACGCUCCGUCGCUGGUCUGAGGGGAUGAUCAGUCACACUGGAACUGAGACAAGGUACAGACUCCUACGGGAGGCAGCAGUGGGGAAUAUUGGACAAUGGGCGCAAGCCUGAUCCAGCCAUACCGCGUGGGUGAAGAAGGCCUUCGGGUUGUAAAGCCCUUUUGUUGGGAAAGAAAUCCAGCUGGCUAAUACCCGGUCGAGAUGACGGUACCCAAAGAAUAAGCACCGGCUAACUUCGUGCCAGCCGCCGCCGUAA